AACGAACGCUGGCGGCGUGCCUAACACAUGCAAGUCGUGCGAGAAAGUCCUUCGGGAGCGAGUAAAGCGGCGCACGGGUGAGUAACACGUAGGUAACCUGCCCCCCAGUCUGGAACAACUAGAGGAAACUCUAGCUAAUGCCGGAUGAGACCACGAUCCCGUUCGGGGGUGCGGCCAAAGAUGGCCUCUACUUGUAAGCUAUCGCUGAGGGAUGGGCCUGCGGGCCAUUAGCUUGUUGGUGAGGUAACGGCUCACCAAGGCUGUGAUGGCUAGCUGGUCUGAGAGGAUGACCAGCCACACUGGGACUGAGACACGGCCCAGACUCCUACGGGAGGCAGCAGUGGGGAAUAUUGCGCAAUGGGCGAAAGCCUGACGCAGCGACGCCGCGUGGGUGAUGAAGGCCUUCGGGUCGUAAAGCCCUGUCGCAGGGGAAGAAUAAGCAUCGGUAUAAUACGCCGGUGCCCUGACGGUACCCUGCAAGAAAGCACCGGCUAACUCCGUG
RNAcentral lists this ribosomal RNA (502 nucleotides) under uncultured bacterium. Its description in RNAcentral is "bacterial SSU rRNA". It matches the Rfam family "Bacterial small subunit ribosomal RNA", at positions 29 to 507 of the family's 1533-position model. The record is from RNAcentral.